GGAGUUUGGGCCGUGUCUCAGUCCCAAUGUGGCCGAUCACUCUCUCAAGUCGGCUACUGAUCGUUGCCUUGGUAGGCCGUUACCCUGCCAACUAGCUAAUCAGACGCGGGUCCAUCCUGUACCACCGGAGUUUUUCACACUAAGGGAUGUCCCUUCGUGCGCUUAUGCGGUAUUAGCAGUCAUUUCUGACUGUUAUCCCCCUGUACAGGGCAGGUUACCCACGCGUUACUCACCCGUCCGCCACUCAGUCACUGAAGCAUCACCCGAAGGAUCUGCCAAAGUGCUUCGUUCGACUUGCAUGUGUUAGGCACGCCGCCAGCGUUCAUC
Molecule: ribosomal RNA, 327 nt
Filed under: uncultured Coprococcus sp.
Lineage: Bacteria; Bacillati; Bacillota; Clostridia; Lachnospirales; Lachnospiraceae
Description: partial 16S ribosomal RNA
Source: RNAcentral